Molecule: ribosomal RNA, 766 nt
Filed under: uncultured archaeon
Lineage: Archaea
Description: bacterial SSU rRNA
Rfam family: Archaeal small subunit ribosomal RNA
Source: RNAcentral
CACUAACUCGUGGAUAACCUACCCUAGGAUGGGGGAUAAUCUCGGAAAACUGAGGAUAAUACCCCAUAGGUCUGGGAGGCUGGAAUGCAUCCAGACUGAAAACUCCGGUGUCCUAGGAUGGGUCUGCGGCCUAUCAGGUUGUAGUGAGUGUAAAGGACUCACUAGCCGACAACGGGUACGGGCCAUGGGAGUGGUAGCCCGGAGAUGGAUUCUGAGACACGAAUCCAGGCCCUACGGGGCGCAGCAGGCGCGAAAACUUCGCAAUGUGCGCAAGCGCGACGAGGGGAUUCCAAGUGCAUGCACUCAGUGUAUGCUGUUUUCCAGUCUAAAUAGCUGGGAGAGUAAGGGCUGGGUAAGACUGGUGCCAGCCGCCGCGGUAAUACCAGCGGCCCUAGUGGUGAUCGUUAUUAUUGGGCCUAAAGCGUCCGUAGCCGGCUCGGUAAAUCUCUGGGUAAAUCGAUAGGCUUAACCUAUCGAAUUCUGGGGAGACUGCCGGGCUUGGGACCGGGAGAGGUCGGAGGUACUCCAGGGGUAGGGGUGAAAUCCUGUAAUCCUUGGGGGACCACCGGUGGCGAAGGCGUCCGACCAGAACGGGUCCGACGGUAAGGGACGAAGCCCUGGGGCGCAAACCGGAUUAGAUACCCGGGUAGUCCAGGGUGUAAACGCUGUGCGCUUGGUGUUGGGGGUCCUACGAGGGCACCCAGUGCCGGAGAGAAGUUGUUAAGCGCACCGCCUGGGGAGUACGGUCGCAAGACUGAAAUUAAUA